This 73-nucleotide transfer RNA is filed under the name Vulpes vulpes (red fox). It matches the Rfam family "tRNA". Rfam says of the family: Transfer RNA (tRNA) molecules are approximately 80 nucleotides in length. Their secondary structure includes four short double-helical elements and three loops (D, anti-codon, and T loops). Lineage: Eukaryota; Metazoa; Chordata; Mammalia; Carnivora; Canidae. RNAcentral also lists the same sequence under 1 other name. The record is from Rfam by way of RNAcentral.
ACCUGGCUGGCUCACUUGGGAGAGCAUGUGACUCUUGAUCUCAGGGUCAUGAGUUUGAGCCCCAUACUGGGUA